CUUGCUCCGCCGGAUCAGUGGCGAACGGGUGAGUAACACGUGGGCAACCUGCCCCUAACUUUGGGAUAACUACUCGAAAGAGUAGCUAAUACCGGAUAUGAAGUCUGUAGGCAUCUACGGAUUUGGAAAGUUUUUCGGUUAGGGAUGGGCCCGCGGCCUAUCAGCUUGUUGGUGAGGUAGUGGCUCACCAAGGCGACGACGGGUAGCCGGCCUGAGAGGGCGACCGGCCACACUGGGACUGAGACACGGCCCAGACUCCUACGGGAGGCAGCAGUGGGGAAUAUUGCGCAAUGGGCGAAAGCCUGACGCAGCAAUGCCGCGUGCGGGAUGAAGGCCUUCGGGUUGUAAACCGCUUUCAGCAGGGAAGAAGCGAAAGUGACGGUACCUGCAGAAGAAGCACCGGCUAACUACGUGCCAGCAGCCGCGGUAAUACGUAGGGUGCAAGCGUUGUCCGGAUUUAUUGGGCGUAAAGAGCUCGUAGGCGGUUAGUCACGUCGGAUGUGAAAACUCAGUGCUUAACACUGAGCCUGCAUUCGAUACGGGCUGACUAGAGUGUUGUAGGGGAGACUGGAACUCCUGGUGUAGCGGUGAAAUGCGCAGAUAUCAGGAAGAACACCGGUGGCGAAGGCGGGUCUCUGGGCAACUACUGACGCUGAGGAGCGAAAGCGUGGGGGAGCAAACAGGAUUAGAUACCCUGGUAGUCCACGCCGUAAACGGUGGGCGCUAGGUGUGGGGAACAUUCCACGUUCUCCGUGCCGCAGCUAACGCAUUAAGCGCCCCGC
This 782-nucleotide ribosomal RNA is filed under the name uncultured Actinomycetes bacterium. RNAcentral describes it as "bacterial SSU rRNA". It matches the Rfam family "Bacterial small subunit ribosomal RNA", at positions 79 to 872 of the family's 1533-position model. The record is from RNAcentral. Lineage: Bacteria; Bacillati; Actinomycetota; Actinomycetes.